CCUACGGGAGGCAGCAGUGAGGAAUAUUGGUCAAUGGACGAGAGUCUGAACCAGCCAAGUAGCGUGAAGGAUGACUGCCCUAUGGGUUGUAAACUUCUUUUAUAUGGGAAUAAAAUGUUCCACGUGUGGGAUUUUGUAUGUACCAUAUGAAUAAGGAUCGGCUAACUCCGUGCCAGCAGCCGCGGUAAUACGGUGGAUCCGAGCGUUAUCCGGAUUUAUUGGGUUUAAAGGGAGCGUAGGUGGAUUGUUAAGUCAGUUGUGAAAGUUUGCGGCUCAACCGUAAAAUUGCAGUUGAAACUGGCAGUCUUGAGUACAGUAGAGGUGGGCGGAAUUCGUGGUGUAGCGGUGAAAUGCUUAGAUAUCACGAAGAACUCCGAGUGCGAAGGCAGUUCACUGGACUGCAACUGACACUGAGGCUCGAAAGUGUGGGUAUCAAACAGGAUUAGAUACCCCUGUAGUC
Molecule: ribosomal RNA, 460 nt
Filed under: uncultured bacterium
Lineage: Bacteria
Description: partial 16S ribosomal RNA
Rfam family: Bacterial small subunit ribosomal RNA
Source: RNAcentral